RNAcentral lists this long non-coding RNA (2044 nucleotides) under Sus scrofa (pig). Its description in RNAcentral is "lncRNA (ENSSSCG00040054752.1)". The record is from RNAcentral. Lineage: Eukaryota; Metazoa; Chordata; Mammalia; Artiodactyla; Suidae.
UAUAGGAAGAAAACUUUAUUAAAAAUUUUUUUCAUCUUGGAGGUAUACUUGACAAAUAUGUAUAUAUUUAAGGUGUACAAUGCAUUUCAUAUAAAUCUACACUGUGAUAAGAUCACAAUCAAGUUAAAUAGGAUUCAUUACCUCACAUGGGUUACAAUUUUUUAAACUUUUUAUUCCCUCACUCCCCUCCCCUCUGGCAACCACUUAUUUGUUCUCUGUAUGUAUGAGUCUGUUUCUGUUUUGUUAUGUUUAUUUGUUUUGGGGGGAGGUAUGUGGGUUGGCUGCGCCUGCAGCAUGUAGAAGUUCCUGGGCCAGGAUCGAACCUGCAUUGCAGUUGCGACCUGUGCCAUGAUUAUGGCAAUGCCGGGGUCCUUAACCCACUGUGCCACCAGGGAACCUUCCUGCUUUUAGAUUCCACAUAUAAGUGAAAUUGUAUGGUAUUUGUCUUCCUCUGUCUGACAUUUCACUUAGCAUAAUGCCCUCUAGAUCCAUCCAUGUUGUCACAAAUGGCAAGAUAUCAUUCUUUUUAUAGCUGAGUAAUAUUCCAUUAUCAUUCAUUCAUAUUUACACACAUCGCAUCUUCUUUUAUCAAUUCCUAUAUGAAGAAAACUUUAAGGAUCCAAAAGUAGGGCUUUUUCCACAAGGGAAAGACAUACCAUUUUCCCGGAUAGGAAAAUCACCUUUGUACAGAUGUCAGUUCUCUCUAAGUCAGUAUAAAUCACGAAUGAUUUUAAUACAGAAUUCUUCCCGAACCAGAAAAACUGAAUCUUAAUUUGGAGAAUAUCAAAGGAACUAGGAUACUCUGAAAAGGAAACAAAAUUGGGGGGCACUCACUCUUAGAGAUAUUAAAACCAAUGAUUAACCUCAGUAAAUUAACACAACAUGAUAUUAUCCCACGUGUAGACAAACAGACGAAUGGAACAGUAUAGAAAAUUUAGAAACAAAUCUCAAAACACAUGCAAAAUUAACUUGUGAUAAAGGCAGCAUCACAAAUCAAUGAGGAAUAAAGAUAGAAUUUCUUGUAAAUGUUGAGACAACCGACUAAUGAUUCAGGAAAAGAGAAAGUUAGAUUUAUACUUCCUCUCGUACACCAAGAUACUUAUUAAUGGAUCAAAGAUCCACUGUUUAAAAGUGACACUAUGCAAUGUUCUGUUAAAAUAAAAAACAAAGGUAGACCAGACUUGAAAAUUUCUUGAGCAGACAAAACCAGUUUAGUCAUAAGAGCAAAGUUUCAUUUAGCUCAUUUUGCAAGACAAGCCAGGCUAACUGACCUGGGUAUUUCUUGCUUAUGCCUCUGAAAAUCCUCAGCAAGACUUACAUUGUUCCCCCAACUCGAUAUGAAGUAACUACUAACCAAUUCCCUCUAAAAAAAAUUCUUAAUACUGUAACCAAUCACUGUGAAGAAUAAACAGUCACCGUCUCCACACGAUAGAAGAUGCUUUAUAACAUAAAGUUUCUUUCCAUGUUUUGAAUGCUACCGGUUUGUAAGCUUUUUGACGUGUGCACAAUAAACUUUUACUAAUUAUUACUUCAUUGAUGUAUUGGUUUUACUUCUGGUGUUUGUUUUGUCUGAACUUUUAACAAUUUUAAAUGUCAAAAGUGAAAGCAUACAAAUACUACAUUGACCAAACAUACCGCAGUGUCAAUUUAAGCGUCUCCAGCGGAGAUAGGUGACUUUCUGCAGUUCUUCAUUCCCAUAAGCUGGACCAUGGCGCUAGCAAGGCGUUCUCAAAACCCCAUUCCUGAUUUGAGUGAAAAUUCACAAUAGACAUUAAAACAAACAAAACUGUCCUGGAGUAUCCAAGGAUGCAUGCCUUCUGAUUCAGUGUCGGUUGGCCUCAUUCAUCUUCGAGACUCGUAAUACGGUGACUCUCGUUCUGCCUGUCGAACAGCUUUGUAAACGGAUAACAAAACGAGGGCUUAUUAAAGAUGGGACCCCCUUGGAUCCCAGAGAAGCCCUGAAUAGACGGCUCUUCUUUGAAAGGAUGCGGUACUUCCGCCCCCACCCUCCGCAGCUCGUAGUAGACCCUAUGCCGACGCACUC